GCCAUGUCACCUGUGUGCAGGUCCAAGGACAACUUGUAGGACUUCACUUUUUUUUCCUUGCAGCAGUCCUCAUUAUGGCCUUUUCAUACGCAGGGCAGGAGUCCCUGCAGGUUCUGUGGUCGGCAGGGAAAUGAUUUGGGUGAGAUGAAGGCUCAAAGCAUCAGCUAUGGACAGGUUCUCCUGAGUCAUAUAAGAUAGGAGGCUGAGCAUGCCCUAGAAGACGAGGCGGUAAACAGUGUUCCUCCACAGCUUUUGGUUUUCUCUCUUCCUGCCUCCAGGAUCUUGCGUUGAGUACCUGCCCUGACUUCACAUCACGAUGGUCCCUAGACAGCAAAACAAGAAGGCUAGUGAAGAGAAGAACAUGAUUGGCAUUCAGAAUCAGCGGCACAACUUUGAAGUCCUACAGAUCAAGUGCGAGAACAUUGAAAGGAACAUUUCUACAGUGAAGAGUUAAGUGACAGCAUUCUUAUUGUCUGCCGUGUAUACUGUGUGGGAAUGAGACAUCAUGUCAGCGGCUGGGAAAUACAAAGGGAUCAGGAAGAAGUGUGUAGUGAUGGCAGUGUCAUCUGUAGACUGGGCCAGAAAAAUCCACUGAGUUCAGGACAGCAGUUGGCGAUCUCUACUGGACAAAGGAUGAGAGAAGCCUAUCUGUGGUCUUACAAAGACUUCAGGGCUACAGUUGUGAUGAAGACCAGGGAUGGGACAGUCCUCUCCCUGUGUGCCAUUGCAUACUAACAUGAAAGCUUCACUCUGGGGAUGAUAAAGAGAUCUUUCACCAU
RNAcentral lists this long non-coding RNA (779 nucleotides) under Rattus norvegicus (Norway rat). Its description in RNAcentral is "long non-coding RNA NONRATT030434". The record is from RNAcentral. Lineage: Eukaryota; Metazoa; Chordata; Mammalia; Rodentia; Muridae.